AAAUAAGCAUAUCAAUAAGCGGAGGAAAAGAAACCAACAGGGAUUGCCCUAGUAACGGCGAGUGAAGCGGCAACAGCUCAAAUUUGAAAUCUGGCUCUUUUAGAGUCCGAGUUGUAAUUUGCAGAGGGCGCUUUGGCUUUGGCAGCGGUCCAAGUUCCUUGGAACAGGACGUCACAGAGGGUGAGAAUCCCGUACGUGGUCGCUGGCUAUUGCCGUGUAAAGCCCCUUCGACGAGUCGAGUUGUUUGGGAAUGCAGCUCUAAAUGGGAGGUACAUUUCUUCUAAAGCUAAAUAUUGGCCAGAGACCGAUAGCGCACAAGUAGAGUGAUCGAAAGAUGAAAAGCACUUUGGAAAGAGAGUCAAACAGCACGUGAAAUUGUUGAAAGGGAAGCGCUUGCAGCCAGACUUGCUUACAGUUGCUCAUCCGGGUUUCUACCCGGUGCACUCUUCUGUAGGCAGGCCAGCAUCAGUUUGGGCGGUAGGAUAAAGGUCUCUGUCACGUACCUCCUUUCGGGGAGGCCUUAUAGGGGAGACGACAUACUACCAGCCUGGACUGAGGUCCGCGCAUCUGCUAGGAUGCUGGCGUAAUGGCUGUAAGCGGCCCGUCUUGAAACACGGACCAAGGAGUCUAACAUCUAUGCGAGUGUUUGGGUGUCAAGCCCGAGCGCGUAAUGAAAGUGAACGGAGGUGGGAACCCGCAAGGGUGCACCAUCGACCGAUCCUGAUGUCUUCGGAAGGAUUUGAGUAAGAGCAUGGCUGUUGGGACCCGAAAGAUGGUGAACUAUGCUUGAAUAGGGUGAAGCCAGAGGAAACUCUGGUGGAGGCUCGCAGCGGUUCUGACGUGCAAAUCGAUCGUCAAAUUUGGGCAUAGGGGCGAAAGACUAAUCGAACUAUCUAGUAGCUGGUUCCUGCCGAUUCCCCCCCU
RNAcentral lists this ribosomal RNA (924 nucleotides) under Alternaria alternata. Its description in RNAcentral is "eukaryotic LSU rRNA". It matches the Rfam family "Eukaryotic large subunit ribosomal RNA", at positions 32 to 974 of the family's 3401-position model. The record is from RNAcentral. Lineage: Eukaryota; Fungi; Ascomycota; Dothideomycetes; Pleosporales; Pleosporaceae.